RNAcentral lists this ribosomal RNA (194 nucleotides) under Listeria monocytogenes. RNAcentral describes it as "partial 23S ribosomal RNA". It matches the Rfam family "Bacterial large subunit ribosomal RNA", at positions 2734 to 2925 of the family's 2925-position model. Lineage: Bacteria; Bacillati; Bacillota; Bacilli; Caryophanales; Listeriaceae. The record is from RNAcentral.
GGCAUUGCUGGGUAGCUAUGUAGGGAAGGGAUAAACGCUGAAAGCAUCUAAGUGUGAAGCCCACCUCAAGAUGAGAUUUCCCAUUUCUUUAAGAAAGUAAGACCCCUGAGAGAUGAUCAGGUAGAUAGGUUGGAAGUGGAAGGCUAGUGAUAGUUGGAGCGGACCAAUACUAAUCGGUCGAGGACUUAACCAAA